AGCGAACGCUGGCGGCAGGCUUAACACAUGCAAGUCGAACGGGCGUAGCAAUACGUCAGUGGCAGACGGGUGAGUAACGCGUGGGAACGUACCUUUUGGUUCGGAACAACCCAGGGAAACUUGGGCUAAUACCGGAUAAGCCCUUACGGGGAAAGAUUUAUCGCCGAAAGAUCGGCCCGCGUCUGAUUAGCUAGUUGGUGUGGUAACGGCGCACCAAGGCGACGAUCAGUAGCUGGUCUGAGAGGAUGAUCAGCCACAUUGGGACUGAGACACGGCCCAAACUCCUACGGGAGGCAGCAGUGGGGAAUAUUGGACAAUGGGCGCAAGCCUGAUCCAGCCAUGCCGCGUGAGUGAUGAAGCCCUAGGUUGUAAAGCUCUUUUACCCGGGAAGAUAAUGACUGUACCGGGAGAAUAAGCCCC
This 420-nucleotide ribosomal RNA is filed under the name uncultured bacterium. Its description in RNAcentral is "bacterial SSU rRNA". It matches the Rfam family "Bacterial small subunit ribosomal RNA", at positions 29 to 494 of the family's 1533-position model. The record is from RNAcentral.